This 2525-nucleotide long non-coding RNA is filed under the name Coffea arabica (coffee). Its description in RNAcentral is "long non-coding RNA (CARA_LNC003353)". The record is from RNAcentral. Lineage: Eukaryota; Viridiplantae; Streptophyta; Magnoliopsida; Gentianales; Rubiaceae.
CCAAAAGCAAUACAACGUAUGUACAAAGGUUCUCUAUUCUCCAUACAACUAGCCCACCAAACAUUGGGGCGAGAACCAUAAAAAAAAAGUCAAAAGUUCUAGACCGGCUAGUCUAUAAGUAGCUUCCGUCCUUGCACGUCUUCCCCUGCUAAGGAAAACAAAAACUAAAGGAAUGAGCUGGAAAGCUCAGUGAGGUUCCGUACACAUAGGCAAGAAGAGAAUCAAUGCAUUCAAUACAUAUAAACAACAAUUCAAGUUACAAGGACAAAUAAAGCGAUAAACAUAUUCAUGAAAAGGAUACGGGCUCACAAGGAGCCAUUCGUUCAUUCGUUCAUUCAUUCAUUCUCCUUUCAUUCCCUUAUGUCUCCAAUCAUUUGAAAAAUGCAUUUUAUAUAAGUAAAACCCUCAUUCAUUCAUUCGUUCAUUCAUUCAUUCACCCCGUCCCUGGCUUUUGGCCAGGCUCAACCAACCUACAAGGUAAUACUCGAGUAUACCGAAACGUUCACCCAAGUCCCUAAUCGCCCGACCGAGUCCGCUUCUGGCUCGAGACGACCGGUAACAAGGGGCAAUGGCCAGUUCAGCCCAAAGGCUUACAUUCAUGCACAAAUAACAUUUCAAUCGUUCAAUCAUUGAAACUUUCACAAUCAUUUAGGCCGAGUGCGAUAAAGUACACACUUGCCUCAAAAACUCGUUUUAGCAAUUGUUGAAAGCAUUUAACAUUUAUCAAUCAUUCAUACAAGCCAUACCCAUCAUGAAACAUAACAAACAAGGAACACUCACCUAAUUACGCAAAAUAACGUGCAAAAUAUUCUUCCAGAUAUUACCCUCGGUCACCGAGAAAACCUAAGAUUUAACGAAAAGAAUAUUACAAGUCAUAUAGCAAAACAAGUAAGUGAAAUCAAGGAAUUCGGCUAAGUACGAGUAAAGCGAGUAAAACAGAUAAAGGUGACUUUAAAGUGAAAGGAGUCCAUUAGGGCUAGUGGAUGAAAUAACUAGGGUUGGUAAAUUAAGUACAAAACUAACUCCAAAAAGGUUAAUAAGUUUCCGACGGAAAAUACGUAACUAGAACACUUUAUAACCCAACUUGAUAAAUAAAUUUGUUCACGUGGUUCAAAAUCAACUCAUUUUCAAAGAAAUAGUAUAGGCUAAAUGUCUUCACUAUAAAGCAUGCGAAAGGAGGACAAAAUACGUUAACUUCCACACUUAGAGCCUCGCUUAAAAAUAAUUCACUUGUAUUCAUAGGAAAGGCAUAAAGAACAUUUGGGGUUUCAUGCUUUCGAAUGGUAAAAUGGUCACAUUAGUUGCCUUGCAGAAAUAUACAAAUGUAACUAGAACUUAGCCCUCGAAUCCUUAGUUGAACGAUCCAAUGAAAUUCUCAAGGAAAUACACCCAAAUUUGAUACAAAAUACAUUUCCAAAACCAUUUUAACUCAUUCAAUUUCCAAGAAAAUAAAUGGACGGCAUAACAACAACCCAGAAAAUGUAACUAUAGCAAACCAGAAAAUCAGGAAAUGUAACUAUAUUAGCCCAAAUAACAAAAACAGUUUUGGCCUCCUAAUGCGGUAAUGGCACAACUCUCACUACAAUUAUCGGUUGGGGAUGUAAGACCCACCGUUUCGAAUCUAAGAAACAGGGCUACAACAAUGUAGAAGACCACUCAAUCCAGUUCUUAACACAACUAGGUCAAAUAUGCCAAAUACUAUCCCAGAAUUCCCAAAACAGGUUUGCAAAACACAGAAAACUGUAAUCGGUAUAUCUCAGUCCAUACAAGUCCAAAUGCCAAAAUUACAAAGGCAUAUGAUAGCUAAGACAUUCAGCUACAUUUAAUCAGAAGACACCAACUCCAAAAUCCAAACCAAUUCCAGUCAAAAAGGCCAAUUACUAUCGCAGUUUUCGCAUUCUGAUCAAAGCAGAACAGCUACAGUAAAAACGACAUAACUCACUCUACACUCAUCCAAAUGACCUGAAAUUUUACAGACACCUCAAAAACAUCAAUACCUACAACUUUCAUGUUUUGAGCAAAGUCCAAUUCGGCCUCUAACCCAGUGAUCUAAAACCGGACAGAAUUGGGAUUUUAUGAACCCAACUUUCCAAUUUUCCAUUCAAAUCCAAAAUUAAUUGCAUUUAUCCACAAUUCACACCCACUAGAACCAUUAUAGUCCAUUUCCAAUCAUCCAAGAUAGCUACAACAAUCAUUUCAUAUUAAACCAGAAAAAUUCCCAAUAAAAUAAAAACUUCACCAAAACUCUUCAAAUCAAGAAAUAAAUCAUAUAUUUCAUCACCCAAGGCACCUCUAAGCAUAUUAUAAUCAUCAUUAGGUAUAGGGGAGAGGUUGUAGCAUCACUUACCAAGAAACAAGGGAAAGAGAGGUUGUGGACACCUUUGCUCUUCAAGACAACUUCACUACAACCCUUACUAGCACUAGAAGGUAGGAUUUUAUGGAGUGAAAUGGAUGGAAGCAAAUGUUUUUGGUUGAUUUGCACCAAGUAGAAGCUAGAACUUGAAGAGUUUCUCCUUCCUUCUUUG